RNAcentral lists this ribosomal RNA (782 nucleotides) under uncultured Neocallimastigales. RNAcentral describes it as "partial large subunit ribosomal RNA". It matches the Rfam family "Eukaryotic large subunit ribosomal RNA", at positions 22 to 649 of the family's 3401-position model. Lineage: Eukaryota; Fungi; Neocallimastigomycota; Neocallimastigomycetes; Neocallimastigales. The record is from RNAcentral.
UACACGCUGUGACUAGCAUAUCAAUAAGCGGAGGAAAAGAAACUAACAAGGAUUCCCUUAGUAACGGCGAAGUGAAGCGGGAAGGAGCUCAAAUUUGAAAUCUUCAAAGGUUUUACCUUGACGAAUUGUAGUUUAAAGAAGUGUUUUCUGCUGAAGUUUUGGUAAAAGUUCUUUGGAAAUAGGACAUCAUAGAGGGUGAGAAUCCCGUAUGACUGCGAUUUGUCAGCUUUGUGAUACACUUUCAAAGAGUCGGGUCGUUUGGGAAUGCAGUCCAAAACGGGAUGGUAAAUUUCUUCUAAGGCUAAAUAUUGGCGAGAGACCGAUAGCGAACAAGUACCGUGAGGGAAAGAUGAAAAGGACUUUGAAAAGAGAGUUAAACAGUACGUGAAAUUGUCAAAAGGGAAGCGUUUGACACCCAGUGUUGUUUUCUCGAAAAUCAAUUAAAAAUGGCUCGAUUUUGUAUUGCUUGAGACCUUAAAAGCUCACUGUACAUUUUUCGUGUCUUUUUUAAUGCACUUUUCGUUUAACAAGUCAACAUCAGUUUCUUUCUGUUGUAAAAGGGUCAUUGGAAGGUGGCUUUCUUUUCGGAGAAAGUGUUUAUAGCCUUUGGCCUCUGCAAUCGGAAGAGACUGAGGUCUGCAGCGUAGACUCUUCGGGGUUAGAUACAUUUGUGCUAAGUUAUAGCUUUUUAUAGACAACUUGUUGACUAUAAUUAGUCUUGUAGCUUACUCGCUUAUGCUAUUUUACCUACGCUUUAGGAUGUUGAGUAGCGACAUACGCAC